CAUUGGUGAUGACAAACUUGAAGGCUUGUUUCUCAAAACAUUCGCAGUGGCUGCCUGAGAGCUUUUGCCUUCGCCGGGCUUGAGAGCUAGUGCUGCUUUAAUCCUUCCUUGGAUGUCUGAGACC
Molecule: non-coding RNA, 124 nt
Organism: Eucalyptus grandis
Lineage: Eukaryota; Viridiplantae; Streptophyta; Magnoliopsida; Myrtales; Myrtaceae
Source: Rfam